AAAAUGUAUGUGGGGGGUCCUGAGUGACCUGUAAAACUUGAUCAGAAGGAAUUGAAUGGUUUUGGCGAAUACUAAGGUGGGGAUGUUUUCUUCCUUUGCCAUUCUAAACCUAUCACUUGUCUUCUCUCCCUCUCUUCCGCUCAAUUAUGAUUCCCCUCUGUCCAGGACUGCUCUCUCUCUCUCUCUCUAAGAAUGAUUAUUGAUGAAUCACAUGCGAUAGAAAGAUCAAGUGUUAUGAUACUUAUAUAGUUAUAUUAUAUAUAAUACUAUAAUUUGUGUGUGGUCUUUUAACAUAUGAUUGAUAUACAGUGUAUGC
Arabidopsis thaliana (thale cress) is the source of this 316-nucleotide long non-coding RNA. RefSeq annotates it as other RNA. The transcript has a single exon. NCBI's taxonomy places the organism in Eukaryota, Viridiplantae, Streptophyta, Magnoliopsida, Brassicales, Brassicaceae. The record is from RefSeq.